GCGAAUAUGAUGGAAUUGGUAGACAUGUCAAAUUUAGGCUUUGAUAAGAUUUCUUUUAGUGGUUCGAGUCCACUUAUUCGUA
Molecule: transfer RNA, 82 nt
Rfam family: tRNA
About the family: Transfer RNA (tRNA) molecules are approximately 80 nucleotides in length. Their secondary structure includes four short double-helical elements and three loops (D, anti-codon, and T loops). Further hydrogen bonds mediate the characteristic L-shaped molecular structure. tRNAs have two regions of fundamental functional importance: the anti-codon, which is responsible for specific mRNA codon recognition, and the 3' end, to which the tRNAs corresponding amino acid is attached (by aminoacyl-tRNA synthetases). tRNAs cope with the degeneracy of the genetic code in two manners: having more than one tRNA (with a specific anti-codon) for a particular amino acid; and 'wobble' base-pairing, i.e. permitting non-standard base-pairing at the 3rd anti-codon position.